Molecule: ribosomal RNA, 801 nt
Filed under: Triticum aestivum (bread wheat)
Lineage: Eukaryota; Viridiplantae; Streptophyta; Magnoliopsida; Poales; Poaceae
Description: partial small subunit ribosomal RNA
Source: RNAcentral
AUGGAGGUCUGGAUCCUAGGUCUAGUAGUGUGUGAGUGUCUCUCUCUGGCAAAUAAAGUGGAGCUGCGUUUUGGAUCUUGUCUAGGUGGUUGUUCAACUCUCCCUUGGGGCCACGCUGGUGGCGAAAAGGCGGAGGCAAGGAUGAUCCCUGGCAGCGGAUCCUUCGGCGGCUUCCCUCAGCCGGAUCCAUGGCGAAGCUUAGGCCCGUCCGGUUUCGUCCCCACUUCUCCCCCCUUUUCUUGCUGUAAUAAAUCCCAAUAUGGUGCGCCAGAUGCUCUUCUUCCUCGAUCUGUUCUUACCACCAUGGUUGUGGGAAGAGAGAUAGAGCAGCAGGAGAUGUACAUGCCUACCACUUGCAGGAGGCCUCGUUGCUACCUUCCUCCACUUGAUGCCGCCAAGGUGGUGGAUGAAGAGGGGUGGGGAAGCACUGAGCUGAAGAUUGAUGGUCGGGUUCGAGCUCAUCAGCAGAGGAUUCUAUGGUGGAGCUACGGCGCCUGCAGUCGGCUGCCGGUCUUCAUCGACCCUCUGCUUCUUCUGGUCGAAGGGCGGCCAACCCCUUUCCUCCUGGCUUGCAUGCCUUAUGGGAGGCAGUUCCAGUUUUCGUUCAGAGGCUCUGGGAUGCACGUGCUGCACCCAUGGCGAUCUCGUCGCCCAAGUGGUUCGUCCCCGGCGACGGCGAGGUUCAAUCUGAGCGAAGGCUGCCAAGGACCCGAUUGCAUUUUAAUCUUUCAGUUAGGGGUUCUCCAUGUAAAAGUCUGGGACUUUGUUGUAAUCUUUCUUUUUCUUUCGGUCCUGAUGUAA